CUCGGGGCGGGGGUCCCUCAACCUGGAUUGCGAGAGAGUGCAGGCCAGGCCGAGGGACCCCACCAGUGCACG
RNAcentral lists this microRNA precursor (72 nucleotides) under Myotis lucifugus (little brown bat). RNAcentral's name for it is "mir-9193 microRNA precursor family". It matches the Rfam family "mir-9193 microRNA precursor family". Lineage: Eukaryota; Metazoa; Chordata; Mammalia; Chiroptera; Vespertilionidae. The record is from Rfam by way of RNAcentral.